GAAGAGGAAGUUCAUCAGAUUUUAAGACGCUCCAGGGGCAGGCUAGGGAUUUCACCCAUGAACCCUAAUAUCCGAUUAUAUAGCUUGUAAAUGAAUCGUCUUGCAAUUGAGACGUGAAGAUAGAAAGGCAGAUUGAAUGCGAAUGAUGGUGGGAGUCUCCAGGUUGCAGAUGAAGCAUCAUGUGUUUCAUUAUCAACAACGGUAGCGGUUAGCACGAAGCCAAUCGUUUUGGUUUUGCAGUUCCCGAGCAACAAGCAGGAAUCUUAUGAAUCCAAAUCAAGCCCAGGCUGAGUUUAGGUGUCCCAAAUUUCCUGUCAUUUUGAUAAAAUGGAAUAAAGUAAUUCGUUUUCCCCAAAUAUAUAUACCUAAAUUUGUGGUUACACACACCCAGAUCAAAUUUUCCUAAACCACACUUGUACACAUGGGUUUCCUUUGAUUUUGAUCUAAACUCAUAGAAAAUCAUCGCUUUAAAGUC
Helianthus annuus (common sunflower) is the source of this 475-nucleotide long non-coding RNA. RefSeq lists it as uncharacterized. The transcript has 2 exons. The record is from RefSeq and is a predicted model, not a curated record. NCBI's taxonomy places the organism in Eukaryota, Viridiplantae, Streptophyta, Magnoliopsida, Asterales, Asteraceae.